This is a long non-coding RNA of Meleagris gallopavo (turkey), 1054 nucleotides long. RefSeq lists it as uncharacterized. The record is from RefSeq and is a predicted model, not a curated record. Lineage: Eukaryota; Metazoa; Chordata; Aves; Galliformes; Phasianidae.
CUGGCUCCAUCUCUCCUAGACCCAUUUAAGAGCUGACUACCAGUAGGGAAGGAUUUCUUCUGGAGAUCUGCUCUACCAGUUUCUCUUGUGAGCGCAGGGUUCUGGGCCAUGAUCACAAUUUAGAAAACGGAGCGGUCAGCUUGAAAAAGAAUACAGGAGAAAACUAGGAAGAAUACUGAAGGAAAGCUGGAGAAAAUCAGUGAAGCAAGCAAGCUCAUGAUAAACCUCCAGAAGAGGAUUCAACUAAUAGAGCCUGCCUGCUGCUGGAAAAAACUUGAGCAGAAUCUCUGGCAAGUGGUGAAAGGUGAUGUACAUCAGUGUGAGUAGCAAAGUGCCAAGAAAUGCCAAAUUAAUACGAUUUCCAAGCAAAGAUGCAGACCUAAAAGGCCAAAUAAGAACGUCACUGCCAAAACACAGAAGAGUGAGGCAGAAAAACAGAUACAGAAAUGAAUGCAAAUGUGUGAUUAUUCUGUAAAGUGUUAAUUACUGGACGUUAGAAUCUUCCCUGCCCUUUUUAGGGAGAGAAAACCCACUCUUACUUCCUAUAACAAGAUGGGCAGGAUUUUUUAAAAGCCUGAAUAAAGAAAAUUCACCCCACUCAUUGUUACUGUCUACCAUUAGAGGGUUGAAAUGCAGCAUUUGCCAGAAGUGCAUGUUCCUUUAUUCAAUCUCUUUCAGUCUACCAGUAUAACUGCCAAUCACAGGAAAUACCUCUAAUAACUCUUCCUUUUACUUAAUAAGGAAUAUCACAUCUUUUAAACAUUAGAAACAGAUGUCACUGCAUUACUUCACUGCUGAUGUAUGUAAUAGAAAUGACACACUAAUUAAUUUAAUGCAGUAUAAAUGUACUGAUUAUUUAUCAUGGCUGACAAUAAAAUUAUGAAAACAUUCAAUUACAAUCAGUGGUAAUUCAUUAUUUAUUGAUUUUGCAUUAUGCACACAUUAAUACAAUACAUUUGAUUAAAGAAGGGAAAGGAUCAUUCUUCUAUUGAUACUUAGACAUUUAGAUUCAUCCAUUUUAUUUAAAAUCCUUGAUGUUUAGAUGGGAAGUUUU